This 251-nucleotide ribosomal RNA is filed under the name uncultured prokaryote. RNAcentral describes it as "partial 16S rRNA". It matches the Rfam family "Bacterial small subunit ribosomal RNA", at positions 525 to 775 of the family's 1533-position model. The record is from RNAcentral.
ACGUAGGGGGCGAGCGUUAUUCGGAAUUACUGGGUGUAAAGGGCAUGUAGGCGGCCCUUCAAGUCGCGUGUCAAAGUCCAGUGCUCAACGCUGGGAGUGCGCGCGAUACUGACGGGCUUGAGGGUUGGAGAGGUGAGCGGAAUUCCCGGUGUAGUGGUAAAAUGCGUAGAGAUCGGGAGGAACACCAGAGGCGAAGGCGGCUCACUAGACAAUUUCUGACGCUAAGAUGCGAAAGCGUGGGGAGCAAACAG